CCUACGGGAGGCAGCAGUGAGGAAUAUUGGUCAAUGGCCGUAAGGCUGAACCAGCCAAGUAGCGUGAGGGAAGACUGCCCUAUGGGUUGUAAACCUCUUUUAUGCGGGGAUAAAGGUGUCCACGUGUGGCUGUUUGCAGGUACCGCAUGAAUAAGGACCGGCUAAUUCCGUGCCAGCAGCCGCGGUAAUACGGGGGGUCCGGGCGUUAUCCGGAUUUAUGGUGUUUAAGGGAGCGUAGGCCGGUCGUUAAGCGUGCCGUGAAAUUUUAGGGCUCAACCAUGGGAGUGCGGCGCGAACUGGAGACCUUGAGUGCGCGGAAGGCAGGCAGAAUUCGUGGUGUAGCGGUGAAAUGCUUAGAUAUCACGAAGAACCCCGAUUGCGAAGGCAGCCUGCCGCAGCGUUACUGACGCUGAAGCUCGAAAGCGCGGGUAUCGAACAGGAUUAGAUACCCUUGUAGUC
Molecule: ribosomal RNA, 459 nt
Filed under: uncultured bacterium
Lineage: Bacteria
Description: partial 16S ribosomal RNA
Rfam family: Bacterial small subunit ribosomal RNA
Source: RNAcentral